Molecule: small RNA, 326 nt
Filed under: Histoplasma ohiense
Lineage: Eukaryota; Fungi; Ascomycota; Eurotiomycetes; Onygenales; Ajellomycetaceae
Description: hypothetical lncRNA
Source: RNAcentral
CACAGGUUUGCAGGUUUUGCCUGCAGAGAGGCACAUGCCUCGCAACGUUUUCGGUAUCCCCCAAUUUGGGGAUCCAACGCUCACAGGUACGACCCAUGGUUAUCAUGGUGUGAUAACAUUGCUAGCACUAUGGCCACUAGGUUAUCCAUAGCAAAUAGCCAACGUAACUAUUUGUUAAAUGGUUGCGCUCAUAGUGAUAUAUGCGACCGCCAGCCGUAGCAUAAUGGGGAACCACAUCUAGGGAGCAGCAAAAUGUUUAAAAUUUGAAAAUUUUUGAAAAUCGCGCAGGGGGCCAGAGAAUUCUUUGAUGAUGGUCAUGGUAAAAG